AGCAGAGUGGCGCAGUGGAACCGUGCUGGGCCGAUUACCCAGAGGUCCGUGGUUCGACACCACGCUCUGCUA
Molecule: transfer RNA, 72 nt
Filed under: Dryococelus australis
Lineage: Eukaryota; Metazoa; Arthropoda; Insecta; Phasmatodea; Phasmatidae
Description: tRNA-OTHER
Source: RNAcentral